UUCAUGUUGGCCAGGAUGGUCUCAAUCUCCUGAUCUCCCAAAGUGCUGGGAUUCUAGGGUCAGCCACUGUGACCAGCCAAUUUUCUCAUUGUUAAAACCCUCUCAGGCCCUGCCAAUAGAUGACAACUGUGUGCCAGUGGUUAGAAGGUGGUCUGCCCCAGGUCUCUCUAUUUAAGGUGGAGUGAGGCUUCAAGGACUGAAAGUCUAGACUCUCAACCAGAUUCCUGCCUGCCUGCAGUCACCUGAUGAAAUGCUGAACCUGUUCGGCUCUCUUGUCCAUCUCUUUCCCACCUGUAAAAUGGAAUAAUGAUAGCCAGCUGCCAUAGCUUGACUCUAGUAAAGGAUCUAGAACAAAAGCCCUUCCCCUGCCUUAAUUGUAGGGUAGAAACCCUUUAAUGAAUGGGCUUCUUCCCUCAGGGAACUGACUCUGCCCCCUAGAGUUUUUCUUCAAGAAACAAAGUCCUUGUGAUACUCAUCUGGAAUGUUGUAUGUAUGACCUUCCCCAAAGGGACUGAGUGUUUCUGGUGCUUUCCAAUGGGAAUGUGGGAAGGGACUCAGAUGGGCCUGUCCACUUUGGGAUUGCUGUCCCUGAAGAAACCCUUUAGCCUGAUGGAAACAUCAUUGUUGGAAGCAAUGAAGUGUGUGAGCGAAGAAAACAUACAGCCUUUUUUAAGCUAUAUGGCUCAGUGGUCUGUAUUUCUAUAGAUCUCUUAUUGCCUAAUCUGGCUUCUUUGGAUGGAUAUAUGCUUAGUUGAAGCACCUCAGCUCCCUUUGCAGAUGGUGGCAGUUCUGCGUUUUUUCUUGGGGAAACCCCAUUAGAAACCUCAAAAGUGGAAAUUUUUAGUAAUCUUAUUCAGGUCCCCAAAUGAAAUAGAAGUGUCUCAGGGGCUCCCCCGUGAAACACCUACUUCUUCUGAGUGUAUGUUUGAGGUUGCUCUUAAAAUUCUGUUACCAUCACAGGGUUUUCCAGACUUCCUAGGAAUAAUUUCCCCAGUAGCCCUGUGGAGCCCUUUAGCUUCUGUCAAAAAUUACCUGGGUAUUUUUUCAGGGGGCUCUAAUGGAACCUGGAGAGUUUUCUUGACUUUUGUAUGGGUGUCCCCAGGUUUGUUUGGGCUGCGUGAAGCAGCAGUUGUUAUCUCUGUCCCUUCCCUCAACAGAUGUCUAUCCUGAGGCCAGUGGGCUUGAACGUCCUCCUCUGCGUCUGACCUUCCUGAUUUUACCAUUGCCCUCAGCCUUCCAUCAUGGGGCUUUCUUUCAGCAACUGUGGUUUUGCCUGAGUUUAAUAUGGAUAGACAAGGGGUAAUUCCCAGUGCGCUGCUUUUUUACAGAAGCAUAAUCUCCUACUGCCUUAAUUAAGCAGGGGCCCUAUCCCCACCCAACCUCCAACCUAAUUCCGUAGAGUCCUCCCUAAGGACUCCCUCUCUUUUCUUUGAAGGAGUCACUCUGCUCCUGGAUCCUCUUCUCUUCUGCCCCUCUAACUGGUAGUCUGUCUUCCUUGCUCCCAGUUGGCAGACCUGAGUCAGACAAUCCCACUGGGUCUUUUUGUUUAGCCUUGGGAAGAGAAGACCGAGAAGAAUAUGAUCACCAGCUUCAGAUCUCUGAAGGAAGAGGGACUGAGUCUUUUUUUAUUGGUAUGGUACCUGGCAAAACUUGGAUACAUGAAAAGAAGUUAACAGUUGUAGAGCUUAAAUUAGUGUGGAGAAAACAUUUCUAACAGAUUUACCCUCUCCUAGAUUUAGGAGCUCCUCAAGGUGGAGGCCACAUCUUGUCGAUGCUUAUUUACUCACCACUGAGCAGAGGCCUUGGGCAUAGUAGAGACCUAAUGAAAGAGAAACCCACUAAAUUUCUGAUGAAACAGACCCUUAUCAAGCCAGAAUAACAGUAAUGGGAGUGGCUGUUUACCUACUAAUUCAUUCAUUGAGUCAAACAAUGUUUAUUGACCUCCUACUAUGUACCAGGCAGUCUUAGGUACUGGGAAUACAGCAGCAAACAAAACUAAGUUUCUGUCCUCAUGGAGCUCACAUUCCAAUGAGGAGUGACAGGCAAUAAAUAUAUAAUUACAUGUUUAUAUCAGAUGAUUGCACAUGCUAUGAAGAAAAUAAAGCAGGUUGGGGCAUAGGGCAUGUCUAGCAAGGGAGGGUGGGGCUACAGUUUUAAUAGAGUGAUCAAAGAAGGUGUAAGGGAUCAAAAAAUGGCUUUACCCUUCUAGGUUCUUUGGCUGGGCUGAGAAUUAAAUUGACAAAGACAGAUUAACUGGAGGAAAAAAAAUUUAAUUACAUAGGUAUGCACAGGAGUCCUACAAAAUUUGAGGCUCAAAGAAGGGUCAGAUAAUUGAAGCUUAUAUAGCAUCCUGAGCUACCAAAAAAGAAUGUAGGGUCCUCUUACAACCACAUGAAUAGUUGCAGAAAUAAAAAAAAGAAAAAGAAAAAAGAAGGAAUAUGGGGCUUGGGACUUCUGUUAGGGGCUUGAGUGGCAGCAACUGAAGUUAUGGCGGGGUAAGGGAAAGUAUUGGUGGUGGCGUGCGUCUGUGAUCCCAGCUACUGUGUAGGGGGGUGCUGAGGUGGGAGGAUCACUUCAGCCUGGGAGGCGGAGGUUGUGGUGAGCCGAGAUCAUGCCACUGCACUCUAGCCUGGGUGACAGAGCAAGACCCUGUCUCAAAAAAAAAAGUCUCUGGUAAUAAAGUUUGUGUGGAGCAGCCCUCUUCCUAAUACAGAUACUUUUACUAGUGGAGAGUUCCUUUUUAGAUGUGAAUUUCUUUUACAAAAGGACAGCUUUUCAGAGCUACUCGUGUCUGCAGUUUCUCAGAAUAACCAGCUUAAAAUCUGCCAAAGAAGUUUAUUUUUGGGAUGGCAUAUUCUGGUUUCCUACAGUCAUAUUUUGGGAUGGUAUGUCCUGAGUCCCGACAAAAGUAUUACCUAAAGGUGAUAUUUGAGCCAAGAGCUGAAUGACGUGAGGUGGUAGAUGAUGUAGGUACCAAAGGGUGUUUCAAACAGAGGGAAUGGACUCAGGAAGGAGCAUGCUUGACAUUUUCAGGGAUGAACAAGAAAGUCAAUGUGGCUGGAGAAGCAAUAGCAAAGGGGAAAAGUGUAGAAGAUGAGGGGAGAGAAUGGUUGGGGAGUAGGGUGGAGAUGUAGGUGGGACCCAGAUCACAUCGAGCGUUACAGACCAUGAUGAAGAUUUGGCUUUGGUGGAAUAAGAGGCCAAAGGAUUUGGAGUGCGGUGAUAUGGUCUGAAUUCUUAAGUGUGGCAACAGGGAGCCCAGUGAAGAGGCUGGUGCAAUUGCCAGGUGGAAAAGAAUGGUGGCUUAGACCUAGAGGUGGAAGUGUGGCAAGGAGGGACUGGAGACUAAGACUAGGCAUGCACGUGGUAUAUUGAUGUAUCCAGCUGUCCUUGCAACCAUAUUUUUAAUCU
Long non-coding RNA from Sapajus apella (tufted capuchin), 3411 nucleotides. RefSeq lists it as uncharacterized. NCBI's taxonomy places the organism in Eukaryota, Metazoa, Chordata, Mammalia, Primates, Cebidae. The record is from RefSeq and is a predicted model, not a curated record. The transcript is spliced from 4 exons.